AGUGAACGCUGGCGGUGGGCCUAACACAUGCAAGUCGAACGGCAGCACCGUACGAGCUUGCUCUUACGGGUGGGGAGUGGCGGACGGGUGAGGAAUACAACCGACUCUACUUUUUCGUGGGGGCUAACGUAGGUAAACUUAAGAUAAUACAGGAUACGCCCUUCGGGUGAAAGCAGGGGAUAUUCGGCCCUGGCGGGUGUGGAUGGGCCGGUGUCGUAUUAGCUUGUUGGUGGGGUGGUGGCCCACCACGGCGACGAUGGGUCGCCGGUCUGAGUGGAUGACCGGCCACACUGGGACUGAGAUACGGCACAGACUGCUACGGGAGGCAGCAGUGGGGAAUAUUGCACAAUGGGCGGAAGCCUGAUGAAGAAACGCCGCGUGCGGGAUGACGGCCUUCGGGUUGUAAAACGCUUUCGGCUGUGACCACGCGUGAGUGACGGUAAUGGGUAAAGAAGCACCGGCUAACUACGGG
This 472-nucleotide ribosomal RNA is filed under the name uncultured bacterium. RNAcentral's name for it is "partial 16S ribosomal RNA". It matches the Rfam family "Bacterial small subunit ribosomal RNA", at positions 30 to 507 of the family's 1533-position model. The record is from RNAcentral.